AUUGAACGCUGGCGGCAUGCUUUACACAUGCAAGUCGAACGGUAACAGGGAGCUUGCUCCGCUGACGAGUGGCGAACGGGUGAGUAAUGCAUCGGAACGUACCCAGUCGUGGGGGAUAACGUAGCGAAAGUUACGCUAAUACCGCAUACGUCCUGAGGGAGAAAGCGGGGGACCGUAAGGCCUCGCGCGAUUGGAGCGGCCGAUGUCGGAUUAGCUAGUUGGUGGGGUAAAGGCCUACCAAGGCGACGAUCCGUAGCGGGUCUGAGAGGACGACCAGCCACACUGGAACUGAGACACGGUCCAGACUCCUACGGGAGGCAGCAGUGGGGAAUUUUGGACAAUGGGCGCAAGCCUGAUCCAGCCAUUCCGCGUGCAGGAUGAAGGCCUUCGGGUUGUAAACUGCUUUUGUACGGAACGAAACGGUCUGCCCUAAUACGGCAGGCUAAUGACGGUACCGUAAGAAUAAGCACCGGCUAACUACGUG
This 484-nucleotide ribosomal RNA is filed under the name uncultured bacterium. Its description in RNAcentral is "bacterial SSU rRNA". It matches the Rfam family "Bacterial small subunit ribosomal RNA", at positions 30 to 507 of the family's 1533-position model. The record is from RNAcentral.